CAGUGGCCGAGAAAUAAGCAUCCGCCAUUCAUACGAGUCGAUUCCGUUGUUUCUGUGUGUUGAGCCUGGUUCGACGACGGGACAUGGUGACGGUAAUAUUUGUGGUCCCUGAGAAAAACAUGAGCCGAUUCAACUAGCGACGUUUAAAUAAGGUGACGCGAAAAAUGCGUUGAUAGAAGAUCUUAAACUGUUGUACUGAACCGCUGCUUAACCCAUAGGCAUUAAUUAGCUCGAGUUUAGUAAUAAUAUUGCUGCAGUUUUUACCCACGCGAGAGAAAACGAGCUGGAAACCUGCUGCAAAGUGUUGAGUGUGAGAAAAUUGAUACGACGAAAAAUGCUCGUCAAAUAAUAAAAAUCUGGAUUUUUACGGCUGAAAACAGCGAACCACGAUAGUGAGAGAGAGAGCUACAGACUAUGGGGGCAUUUUUAGAUAAACCGCAAACAGACAAGUACAACGAGCAUGGGGCUGGGAACGGUUUGCGAUACGGAGUCGCCAGCAUGCAGGGCUGGCGGGUUGAAAUGGAAGAUGCUCACCGAGCCAUAACCGGUCUCGAGGGUGGUUUGUCGGAUUGGAGUUACUUUGCCGUCUUCGAUGGGCACGCAGGUGCUCUUGUGUCUGCGCACAGCGCGGAGCAUUUGCUAGAGUCGAUUAUGCAAACGGAAGAGUUUAAGGCGGAGGAUGUAAUAAAGGGUAUUCACUCAGGCUUUUUGAGAUUAGACGACCGAAUGCGAGACUUGCCCGAGAUGAUCACAGACAAGUCCGGCUCGACGGCGGUUUGUGCUUUUAUUUCUCCCAGGCAAAUAUACAUCGCCAACUGUGGAGAUUCCAGGGCUGUAUUGUGCCGGUCUGGUAAUCCAGUGUUCUCAACCAGAGACCACAAACCUGUUUUGCCUGCUGAGAAGGAGAGAAUCCAAAAAGCUGGAGGGAGCGUCAUGAUCCAACGGGUUAACGGGUCGCUCGCUGUUUCUAGAGCCUUAGGAGAUUACGAGUACAAAAAUGUCGAGGGUCGUGGCCCGUGCGAACAGCUAGUCUCACCAGAACCUGAAAUUUUCGUCAGGGAAAGAGACGACGUUAAUGACGAAUUCCUCGUUCUGGCAUGCGACGGGAUUUGGGACGUUAUGACCAAUGAGGAUCUCUGUGAUUUCAUUCGUUCUAGGCUACUCUUGACUGACGAUUUGGAAGCAGUCACCAACCAAGUCAUAGAUACCUGCCUAUAUAAGGGCAGCCGAGACAACAUGAGCAUAGUUUUGGUAACGUUACCUGGUGCCCCGAAGCCAAGCGCAGAUGCACAGAAGAAAGAAGCUGAAUUGGAAAUGGCCAUUGAAAGGAGGAUCAAAGAAAUAGUAACGCAGCAGGAGGGUCAGGACGGAAUCGAUUUCCCACAGCUGCUCCAACAUCUUAUAGACCAGGAAAUGCCCAAUCUUCCACCCGGAGGUGGUCUUCCUGCCAAGCGACCGUUCAUCGAACAGGUGUUCCGGGAAGUUUGCCCCAGCAGGGCGAACAGUAUAGAAGAAGAUGAGUCAAGGAAAGUUCGAAUUAUUCGUUGUAUAUACAACUCGAUGCGUCUGCAUUCUAAACAAAGCUGAACAUAGAAAACUGAUACAAGGCCGGCCUAAGAAUUGAGCAGUAUUCCGCAGUUACAAGGAGUCAAGGACUAGUUAGUGCAUACAAUAUGUAUACCAUUUUAUACGUGUCGUAUGGAAUAAUCUGGCGAAUGAGAGAACAGCAGAUUUGAGACAUCGUCAACAACAGCUAUGAUGGGUUUGCCGCAUUAAGUCACAAUUGUAUAGAACAAUAAUUAAUCAUUAAACCACACAUUAGUCAAUACCAAACAAUAUACCUUGCAUUACAUUACACUUGUACAACUGACAAAAAAAACCUACGAUUUUAAGAGUUUACUGUAUAAAGCGGUUUAAUAUGAUACUAGCCAAGGGUGAGAUGUGUAAAUUAAAUUAAAUCACAUAGUAGCAUAUUUAUACGAUUAAGCCAUUACCUCACAAUACCUACUUCCAUCACAAUGUAACUUAUAUUAGAGAAAAUUUUGGAUUGUAUCUCUUUGUGAAGAUCCAAUAUUAUAGAUAUAUUUUACUUUUAAAUUCAGGUAGUAGGAAAAUAAAGAAACUAAUUUUUAUUUAAGAGUAAAGCAGCUUUUAUUAUUUCGCACUGUAAUUUCUGUCAGUUUUCAUCAUACGAUUUUCGUGUAACCGCUUCAGUACAAAUGUGGGCCAGAUAAUUAUAGUUUUCUUCAAGCUGUACUUAAUUUAAAUCAUAUAUACCCGUAUAUCUCAAUAAUUUCGAAUAUUCUCAUCCGUAUUAAUUGAAUAAAAUAAUCUUGUUGUUAGAAAAUCAAUUGAGUUAUGUGAAGUAAACUAUUGAAUCGAAAUAAAGUACUUAUAACUAUAGUAUGUAUUCACAAGUAAACUGCAACCCAUCCAAGAUUUAAUGAAUCAGAACAUUUUUUACUAAUCCCUACUAUAUUUUUCUUCUAAAAAGAUAUAUUGUCACAUUGAUACUCGGCAAUCUUUUCAGUUUCCAAAUAUUCUUGUUUCCAAUUCUGAUAGCUAUUAUGGGUGAUUGGGUGAUGCAAACUAUGGCAAUUUCAUUAGUCUGUCGAUAUUUA
Molecule: RNA transcript, 2621 nt
Organism: Diprion similis
Lineage: Eukaryota; Metazoa; Arthropoda; Insecta; Hymenoptera; Diprionidae
Gene name: protein phosphatase 1B
Exons: 7
Source: RefSeq, a predicted model, not a curated record